Molecule: ribosomal RNA, 372 nt
Filed under: uncultured bacterium
Lineage: Bacteria
Description: bacterial SSU rRNA
Rfam family: Bacterial small subunit ribosomal RNA
Source: RNAcentral
AUACGUAGGGGGCGAGCGUUGUCCGGAAUUAUUGGGCGUAAAGGGUGCGUAGGCGGCCUUUUAAGUCAGGUGUGAAAGGUCACGGCUCAACCGUGGUAAGCACUUGAAACUGGAAGGCUUGAGUUAAGGAGAGGAAAGUGGAAUUCCUAGUGUAGCGGUGAAAUGCAUAGAUAUUAGGAGGAAUACCAGUGGCGAAGGCGACUUUCUGGACUUAAACUGACGCUGAGGCACGAAAGCGUGGGGAGCAAACAGGAUUAGAUACCCUGGUAGUCCACGCCGUAAACGAUGAGUGCUAGGUGUCGGGGGUUACCCCUCGGUGCCGCAGCUAACGCAUUAAGCACUCCGCCUGGGGAGUACGUGCGCAAGCAUGAA